Molecule: long non-coding RNA, 756 nt
Organism: Aedes albopictus (Asian tiger mosquito)
Lineage: Eukaryota; Metazoa; Arthropoda; Insecta; Diptera; Culicidae
Exons: 3
Source: RefSeq, a predicted model, not a curated record
CAGAUGGAAAUCUACCUGGGUACCUCAAGUCUACUUAGUUAAGACACCUUAUGGUUAACUGAGCUAAGACACGCACUUUUUCCAUGCAUGGUUCCCAACCGGGCUAUGCUAUUGACAUUUGGUUUCGCCUGUUUACACUUCUCAUCAACCGACACCGACACGACCGACCGACCGUCGUGGAAAAAGAAAAUAAAAAAUUCUGUUGUUGGUCGCAGGCCGCGAGUGACUCUUGAAUAUUAUUUGUUUAAAAUUGUUUAAAAGUGACUCAGGAUGGACGUCAAAUCUACGUCGUAGAUUAUCCGGAUGCAUUCCAAUGGUUUGUCGGAAUCAGCAGCUGCGGGCACCAGCCGAAUGCAAAAAAGGUGGUUCUGCACUCGGUAAAGGAGAUGUCGCCUGUACACUUUGUUCCUGCUAAAUUAUAAUUGUAUCGGAGGGUUGAAGUGUGCCGUCGCUUCUUUCGUCACUUGCACCGAGGUCAAAAAAGGUCAUCGAGAAGGCGGAGAAUACUUCAGCCCGGACGAAACAUUCUUGGUCGCCUUGGAGAGCAAUGCUGUUCUGGUAUUCAAGGUGCCGGAGGAGCUGAACGAUGUUUACAGUUGGCACCGGGAGUUGGAUAAAGGACAUCUAAAAUGACGUUAACACAACGAGGAUUUGAAGCGCAUUCGAAGGAUUUUACGGACACCAAGAGGAGGCCGAAAGGAAAUGAAAGGCGUUCUGCUAGGCUGCAUGACCAGGAUAAAACUUUGUAUAUUGAAU